This is an RNA transcript of Populus euphratica (Euphrates poplar), 3797 nucleotides long. It is a transcript of the gene named calcium-transporting ATPase 4, plasma membrane-type-like, with no coding region annotated. The record is from RefSeq and is a predicted model, not a curated record. The transcript is spliced from 9 exons. Lineage: Eukaryota; Viridiplantae; Streptophyta; Magnoliopsida; Malpighiales; Salicaceae.
UCAAUCAUAAUAUUGGUAUACAUAUUGUCGUAUUUCCAUUAUUUCCUAUUAAAUUACUUGGAAAAAUCUUCUUCUAAAAUCUUAUAGAAACCAAACCAAGUCCAUUUAUGCAACUGGUCUUUAACAAUAUAUUCAAGCCCAUAUGUUUAUGGCACUCUUCUUCACGAGUCUCUCUCUUUGUCUCCUGUUUCCUGCGCCCGCCCUUCACGGCUACGAUUGAAUCUUUUCUCAACAAGAAUAUAUAUGUAUAUAUCACCUAGCUAGCUAGCUAGCUGGCUCCAUGAUUUUCAUUUCUUGAUACAUCAUUCUAUUCUCUGUGAUCGUUUGGAUUUGACAAACUUUACAUGGAGCAAUACUUGAAAGAAAACUUUGUAGUUGAUGCAAAGAGACCCUCCGAACAAGCUUUAAGAAGAUGGAGAUCUGCAGUUUCAGUCGUCAGGAAUCCUCGCCGGAGGUUUCGAAUGGUUGCUGAUCUUGCCAAAAGAGCAGAAGCUGAAAGGAAACGUAAGAAUCUCCAGGAAAAGAUACGGAUAGCUCUUUAUGUCAACAAGGCAGCAUUGCAUUUCAUCGAGGCUGCUAAUCUAGCUGAGCACAAGCUCUCAGACAAUGUCAGGCAAAAUGGUUUUGGCAUUGGACCGGAUGAACUAGCAGCGCUCGCUCGGUCCCAUGAUAUCAAUGACUUGGAAUCUCAUGGAGGAGUUGAGGGAUUGGCCAGAGAAGUAUCUGUUUCCUUGAAUGAUGGGGUUGUCUCAAGUGAUAUAUCUAUUAGGCAAAAUAUAUACGGCUUUAACCGAUAUUCUGAGAAACCUGCCAGAUCUUUUUGGAUGUUUGUAUGGGAUGCUUUGCAUGAUUUGACGUUAGUUAUUCUGAUGGUGUGUGCCGUGGUCUCCAUUGGUGUUGGUAUUGCAACUGAAGGUUGGCCGAAUGGAAUGUAUGAUGGGGUGGGAAUAGUAAUAUGCAUUUUGCUAGUAGUGAUGGUCACUGCAAUCACUGACUACAAGCAGGCCUUGCAAUUCAAGGUCCUGGACAAGGAGAAGAAGAAUGUUAUUGUUCAGGUUACCAGAGAAGGGAGCAGACAGAAGGUUUCUAUCUUCGAUUUGGUGGUUGGAGAUGUUGUUCAUCUAUCAAUUGGAGAUCGGGUUCCUGCAGAUGGCAUUCUUAUAUCAGGCCACAGCUUAUCAGUUGAUGAAUCCAGCUUGUCAGGAGAGAGUGAGCCAGUGGACAUAAAUAAAAAGAGGCCCUUUCUUCUAUCAGGUACCAAAAUACAGGAUGGGUCUGGUAAAAUGCUGGUGACAGCAGUCGGUAUGAGGACUGAAUGGGGCACGUUGAUGGUUCAUCUGAGCGAAGUGGAUCAAGAUGAGACACCAUUACAGGUGAAGCUUAAUGGAGUUGCAACUGUUAUUGGAAAAAUUGGUUUGGCUUUUGCUGUGAUAACUUUUUUAGUUCUGCUGGCACGGUUUCUAUUGGUGAAGGCAGACCACCAUGAGAUCACAAAAUGGUCUAGUAGUGAUGCUUUGAAGCUUCUAAAUUUCUUUUCCAUUUCUGUAACCAUAAUUGUUGUUGCAGUUCCUGAAGGGCUUCCAUUAGCAGUGACACUUAGUCUUGCAUUUGCAAUGAAGAAACUAAUGCACGAUAGAGCACUGGUGAGGCAUCUUUCCGCAUGUGAAACAAUGGGUUCUGUUUGUUGCAUUUGCACAGAUAAAACUGGAACAUUGACUACAAAUCAUAUGGUGGUGAACAAAAUAUGGAUCUGUGAAGAAACAAAAUCAAUACAAACUAAUAGCAAUAAAGAUUUAUUAAUGUCCUCUUUCUCAGAAAACGUGCAUGGAAUCCUUUUGCAAUCUAUAUUUCAGAACACAGGAUCAGAGGUAACCAAGGGAAAAGAUGGAAGGGAUUACAUUUUGGGGACGCCGACGGAGACAGCAAUUUUAGAGUUUGGAUUAAUUUUAGGAGGCGAGUUUAAAACACAUCAUAACGAAUCUGAGAUAGUGAAAGUUGAGCCUUUCAAUUCAGAAAAGAAGAAGAUGUCUGUGCUUGUUUCUCUUCCUAACAACGGUGGGUUUCGAGCUUUCUGCAAAGGUGCAUCAGAAAUAAUUUUGAAAAUGUGUGACAAGAUGUUAACUGCUGAUGGAAAAGCUGUGCCGCUAUCUGAAAAGCAAAGACAGAAAAUCACAGAUGUCAUAAAUAGUUUUGCCUGUGAAGCUCUACGAACUCUAUGCUUGGCUUUCAAGGAUAUGGAGACCACUUCUGGUGCAAAUAACAUGCCUGACAAUAACUAUACAUUAAUCGCUGUCGUUGGAAUUAAGGAUCCUAUACGCCCUGAGGUGAAGGAAGCUGUUAAGACUUGUUUAGAUGCUGGAAUUACUGUGCGUAUGGUCACUGGUGACAAUAUCAACACUGCAAAAGCAAUAGCUAGGGAAUGUGGCAUCUUGACAGAUUAUGGCCUGGUAAUUGAAGGGGCAGAUUUCCGUUGUAAGAGUCCUCAGGAGUUGGAGGAGAUAAUACCAAAUCUUCAGGUUAUGGCCCGAUCAUCACCUUCGGACAAGCAUAAAUUGGUGACUCAAUUGAGGAGUGUAUUUAAGGAAGUUGUGGCAGUGACUGGAGAUGGUAGUAAUGAUGCUCCAGCCUUGGCCGAGGCAGAUAUCGGACUUGCUAUGGGCAUAGCAGGAACAGAGGUUGCAAAAGAAAGUGCUGAUGUUAUUGUAAUGGAUGACAGCUUUAAAACUAUAGUGAAUGUUGCAAGAUGGGGUCGAUCAGUAUAUAUUAACAUUCAGAAGUUUGUUCAGUUCCAGUUAACAGCUAAUGUUGCUGCUCUCAUGAUAAAUUUCAUUUCUGCGUGCAUCUCGGGCGGCGAGCCAUUGACCACUGUUCAGCUGCUUUGGGUGAACUUAAUCAUGGACACUCUUGGUGCAUUAGCAUUGGCUACAGAACCACCUCAUGAUGGACUGAUGAAAAGACCUCCAAUCGGAAGGAAUGUAAGCAUAAUCACCAAGACCAUGUGGAGGAAUAUCAUUGGACAAAGCAUCUAUCAAAUAAGUGUCCUUGUCAUCCUCCAGCUUGAUGGGAAACAUCUACUGAAGCUUUCUGAUUCAGAUGAUACUAAAAUCCUGAAUACUUUCAUAUUUAAUACCUUUGUGCUUUGCCAGGUGUUCAAUGAAAUAAACAGCCGAGAUAUGGAGAAGAUAAAUGUGUUCAAAGGCAUCUUUAGUAGCUGGAUUUUCUUGGCUGUCAUGUUCUCCACAGUUACUUUCCAGAUUGUAAUAGUUGAAUUCUUGGGCACAUAUGCUAAUAUUGUGCCACUAAGGUGGGAAUUAUGGUUGGCCAGUGUCUUAAUCGGAGCUGCAAGUUUAGUCAUCUCUGUCAUCCUGAAGUGCAUUCCUGUUGGAACAAACAAAGAUGACAACACUGCCAAGCAUCACGACGGUUAUGAGCCUCUUCCUAGUGGUCCAGAUAUGGCCUGAGAAUAUAUGAUGGAUAAACUCAUGAAGAAAGCAGAAUUCUGUAGGCAGCAUGAAAUGAAAUCAGCAGCCAAAACCAAGCUGUAUAUAAUAUUGAUGAUGCUUGGUCUUAUUUGCACUUUGCAGUUUGCUUAGAUUGCCUGCUGAAGUCAUGGCAGAUACGGCAAAAAAUUGUAUGUUUGUAGGAAACUUGAGGAAUUUGUUUACAAACACUGCAAGUUUGAUUCAUGAAAAGAUCAUUGUGAGUUUCAUUUUAUCAAAAUUGUGUCAUUUAUAGACGGAUGAGAAAACAACAAAUCUGCAAUACAAAAACUGAAGGAUUUGAACCCUUUAUUAUUA